GAUGAAGAACGCAGCGAAAUGCGAUACGUAGUGUGAAUUGCAGAAUUCAGUGAAUCAUCGAAUCUUUGAACGCACAUUGCACCUCUCGGUGUUCCGGGAGGUAUGCCUGUUCGAGCGUCAUUUGUACCCUCAAGCUCUGCUUGGUGUUGGGUGUUUGUUCCGCCUCUGUGUGUGAACUCGCCUCAAAACAAUUGGCAGCCGGCGUACUUGUUUCGGAGCGCAGCACAUUUUGCGAUCCAGAUCAACGUACAGCGGCAUCCAAGAAGCCUUAUUUAACGCUCUUGACCUCGGAUCAGGUAGGGAUACCCGCUGAACUUAAGCAUAUCAAUAAGCGGAGGA
This 339-nucleotide unclassified non-coding RNA is filed under the name soil metagenome. RNAcentral describes it as "partial contains 5.8S ribosomal RNA, internal transcribed spacer 2, and large subunit ribosomal RNA". The stretch from base 1 to 120 matches the Rfam family "5.8S ribosomal RNA", at positions 35 to 154 of the family's 154-position model. The record is from RNAcentral.